AAGUCGUAACAAGGUUUCCGUAGGUGAACCUGCGGAAGGAUCAUUAACACGUAUCCAACGUUAAACCCCCCUGUGAACUUUUACACUUGCUCUCGAAGCUCGCCGGAAUUGUAAUCCCUGGUAAUCAUUGUUGAACAGAUUUUGAUUCAACGACCUCAGUUUGGUGAGUUAGAUCCGAGCGAUCGUUGUUUCCCCAAGCAGCCGGGACCAGGUCGCAGUGGCUUCGGCCCCCUAUAUUCACCACUACCUUUAAGUCGCCUCGUAGGAAACUGCUGGGCAUCAAAACGAACAACUGUUAACAAUGGAUAUCUUGGUUCUC
This 319-nucleotide unclassified non-coding RNA is filed under the name fungal sp. RNAcentral describes it as "partial internal transcribed spacer region". The stretch from base 1 to 46 matches the Rfam family "Eukaryotic small subunit ribosomal RNA", at positions 1786 to 1831 of the family's 1831-position model. The record is from RNAcentral. Lineage: Eukaryota; Fungi.